GUAGGUGGCAAGCGUUGUCCGGAAUUAUUGGGCGUAAAGCGCGCGCAGGCGGUUCUUUAAGUCUGAUGUGAAAGCCCACGGGCUCAACCGUGGAGGGUCAUUGGAAACUGGAGAACUUGAGUAUAGAAGAGGAAAGCGGAAUUCCACGUGUAGCGGUGAAAUGCGUAGAGAUGUGGAGGAACACCAGUGGCGAAGGCGGCUUUCUGGUCUGUAACUGACGCUGAGGCGCGAAAGCGUGGGGAGCAAACAGGAUUAGAUACCCUGGUAGUCCACGCCGUAAACGAUGAGUGCUAAGUGUUAGGGGGUUUCCGCCCCUUAGUGCUGCAGCUAACGCAUUAAGCACUCCGCCUGGGGAGUACGGCCGCAAGGCUG
Molecule: ribosomal RNA, 372 nt
Filed under: uncultured organism
Description: partial 16S ribosomal RNA
Rfam family: Bacterial small subunit ribosomal RNA
Source: RNAcentral